ACUUUCCGUGUUAGACAAAACCCAACAAGCUGGUACACGCCAAUGCGAGUUGAGCAGUCAUUUUAAGGAGCGUAAACAAUGAACUGGGACAUAACAAAGGAUCCCAUGAGACCCUUGCCCACCUCAAGUUCUAUAUCAAAGAGACCAAGCAAUGUUCAAUACACAACUACAUCAAAAAACUCAUUAAUGAUGUGGUUCAAAGAGACAGCUUUACGGUUCAUCUGAUGUCAUGAGCAAAUGACACAAGAUGAAAAGAACUCAUACAAGCCAAAAAAUUUCCUUAUGUAAGGUAGGCAACACAAGAAACCCACAAUUUGGUUAAGCAAUUAAAGCCUUAACAUAAGAAUGAAAAAGGUAAGUCUGGUGAAAGUUGUUGCACAAGCAAAGAGCCAACCACCAUUAACAAACC
RNAcentral lists this unclassified non-coding RNA (409 nucleotides) under Brickellia veronicifolia. RNAcentral's name for it is "partial external transcribed spacer". Lineage: Eukaryota; Viridiplantae; Streptophyta; Magnoliopsida; Asterales; Asteraceae. The record is from RNAcentral.